CAUAGGCAUCUUAGUCUGUAUAAUAUCGUUCAAACUCAACCCCGGCUGAGAGCCCUCAUUAUCAAAUCCUAACGCACUGGAGGGCGGGAGUCAGGCGCCGUGGGGACAGCCCCGAGAUGCCGAAAGUCCCCGGCCCGCUUCCUCCUGUGAAGACGUAGCUGCGGGUGGCUGUGGUGGUGGCGUCCAAGAUGUCGACCAAGAAUUUCCGAGUCAGUGACGGGGACUGGAUUUGCCCCGACAAAAAAUGUGGAAAUGUAAACUUUGCUAGAAGAACCAGCUGUAAUCGAUGUGGUCGGGAGAAAACAACUGAAGCAAAAAUGAUGAAAGCUGGGGGUACUGAAAUAGGAAAGACACUUGCAGAAAAGAGCCGAGGCCUAUUUAGUGCUAAUGACUGGCAGUGUAAAACUUGCAGUAAUGUAAAUUGGGCCAGAAGAUCAGAGUGUAACAUGUGUAAUACUCCAAAGUAUGCUAAAUUAGAAGAAAGAACGGGAUAUGGUGGUGGGUUUAAUGAAAGAGAAAAUGUUGAGUAUAUAGAAAGAGAAGAAUCUGAUGGAGAAUAUGAUGAGUUCGGACGUAAAAAGAAAAAAUACAGAGGGAAGGCAGUUGGUCCUGCGUCAAUAUUAAAGGAAGUUGAAGAUAAAGAAUCAGAGGGAGAAGAAGAGGAUGAGGAUGAAGAUCUUUCUAAAUAUAAAUUAGAUGAGGAUGAGGAUGAAGAUGAUGCUGAUCUCUCAAAAUAUAAUCUUGAUGCCAGUGAAGAAGAAGAUAGUAAUAAAAAGAAAUCUAAUAGACGAAGUCGCUCAAAGUCUCGAUCUUCACAUUCACGAUCUUCAUCACGCUCAUCCUCCCCCUCAAGUUCAAGGUCUAGGUCCAGGUCCCGUUCAAGAAGUUCUUCCAGUUCGCAGUCAAGAUCUCGUUCCAGUUCCAGAGAACGUUCGAGAUCUCGUGGGUCGAAAUCAAGAUCCAGCUCCAGGUCCCACAGGGGCUCUUCUUCCCCACGAAAAAGAUCUUAUUCAAGUUCAUCAUCAUCUCCUGAGAGGAACAGAAAGAGAAGUCGUUCUAGAUCUUCUUCACCUGGUGAUCGCAAAAAAAGACGAACAAGAUCACGGUCACCUGAAAGGUGAUUGGUGAAAACACUAAACAACCCUGAGCCCAGGGCCAACCCCUACGGAACACCACUACUUUACCCAGGCGCCACAGGUCAUCUUCUGGAUCGUCCCAUUCUGGUUCCCGUUCAAGUUCAAAAAAGAAAUAAUGUAUUAAAAAUUACAUCUUAAAAAAAAAAAAAAUCCAGUGCAGUGCAUGAAGCAUAUUUUUUAAGAAGUUGAU
This is an RNA transcript of Sciurus carolinensis (gray squirrel), 1326 nucleotides long. It is a transcript of the gene named zinc finger RANBP2-type containing 2, with no coding region annotated. The record is from RefSeq and is a predicted model, not a curated record. The transcript has 11 exons. Lineage: Eukaryota; Metazoa; Chordata; Mammalia; Rodentia; Sciuridae.